UACGUAGGGUGCAAGCGUUAAUCGGAAUUACCGGGCGUAAAGCGUGCGCAGGCGGUUUUGUAAGUUUGUCGUGAAAUCCCCGGGCUUAACCUGGGAAUUGCGAUGAAGACUGCAAGGCUAGAAUCUGGCAGAGGGGGGUAGAAUUCCACGUGUAGCAGUGAAAUGCGUAGAGAUGUGGAGGAACACCGAUGGCGAAGGCAGCCCCCUGGGUCAAGAUUGACGCUCAUGCACGAAAGCGUGGGGAGCGAACAGG
RNAcentral lists this ribosomal RNA (253 nucleotides) under uncultured bacterium. RNAcentral's name for it is "partial 16S ribosomal RNA". It matches the Rfam family "Bacterial small subunit ribosomal RNA", at positions 524 to 776 of the family's 1533-position model. The record is from RNAcentral.